Molecule: ribosomal RNA, 563 nt
Filed under: uncultured bacterium
Lineage: Bacteria
Description: bacterial SSU rRNA
Rfam family: Bacterial small subunit ribosomal RNA
Source: RNAcentral
CCUACGGGAGGCAGCAGUGAGGAAUAUUGCUCAAUGGGCGAAAGCCUGAAGCAGCAACGCCGCGUGGAGGAAGAAGGUCUUCGGAUUGUAAACUCCUUUUCUUAGGGACGAGGAAGGACGGUACCUGAGGAAUAAGUCACGGCUAACUACGUGCCAGCAGCCGCGGUAAUACGUAGGUGGCGAGCGUUAUCCGGAAUUAUUGGGCGUAAAGCGCAAGCAGGCGGCUUCUUAAGUCUGACGUAAAAUUUCCUGGCUUAACUGGGAGGGGUCGUUGGAGACUGAGGGGCUUGAGGCGAUGAGAGGGACAUGGAAUUCCCGGUGUAGUGGUGGAAUGCGUAGAUAUCGGGAGGAAUACCAGAGGCGAAAGCGGUGUCCUGGCAUUAGCCUGACGCUCAUGUGCGAAAGCGUGGGGAGCGAACGGGAUUAGAUACCCCGGUAGUCCACGCUGUAAACGAUGAAUACUGGGUGUAGGCGGGGUUAGAGCCGUCUGUGCCGAAGCAAACGCGUUAAGUAUUCCGCCUGGGGAGUACGGCCGCAAGGCUAAAACUCAAAUGAAUUGACGG